Non-coding RNA from Monodelphis domestica (gray short-tailed opossum), 732 nucleotides. NCBI's taxonomy places the organism in Eukaryota, Metazoa, Chordata, Mammalia, Didelphimorphia, Didelphidae. The record is from RefSeq and is a predicted model, not a curated record.
UUGGGGAAGGAAACACAACUGUCCUGUUGGAUCCAUCCAUUGUUCUACCAUGUUCACCCUGGCAGUCCUUUAAAAAGCUAGAAAAUAAGGCCAUUUUAAGAUCGUAGAGCUUAUUACAAGUUGUUUCACAUACAGCAGACACAUAAUAAUUUCACAGGGCGGGUGGGAUGCCAAGCAUGAAUGAUAAGGGGGUACCCCAGAGGAAGAGGCAGCCUGGGGAGGGUAUGGGGUCCCCCUAAGAUCUUAGAGCUGCUGUGCUGGGGAUUCUGCCUUGAGUGCAGACAGUGACACACAGUGGAUAUCCAAGGACCAGCAGCACUCUGAGUUUCUGGGUUCCCAGAUGGCAGAACAGGCCAUGAGAGCAUCCACAGCUCCUUGGAGGUGAGGAGUGGGUAGGGUGGGCUCUGAAAGGCUUCUCUCUCACCCCAGGCUGCAAGAGGACUUGGCCAGCACUCACAGGGCCCAUCAACUCCUGGAGGAGAAACUCCAAAGCCUGGUCUCCAGGUUGGCUUCCAGCCCUCCGGGAUCCCCUGUUUUCUUUUUCCUGAAUGAGGCUCCCAGCGGCAACCUGGACUCUGCCAUGCCCUGGGUGAACCCAGAGCUGAGGAAGGGGGGUGGUGUGGGAGUCCUGGGGGCCACCAGGAAGGAGAGUCAACACUGCUGUGAAAGGAGUCUGCCCCAGGCUCCCCUGUCCCAACUUUCUUAGUGUCAGCAAUAAAGCCUGAGACUGUA